This 29-nucleotide non-coding RNA is filed under the name Homo sapiens (human). The record is from RNAcentral. Lineage: Eukaryota; Metazoa; Chordata; Mammalia; Primates; Hominidae.
UUGAGCAGCCAAUGCAAAUCAGUGAUGUU